This 702-nucleotide ribosomal RNA is filed under the name uncultured bacterium. RNAcentral describes it as "bacterial SSU rRNA". It matches the Rfam family "Bacterial small subunit ribosomal RNA", at positions 134 to 852 of the family's 1533-position model. The record is from RNAcentral.
CAGAGGGGGAUAACGUUUGGAAACGAACGCUAAUACCGCAUGAUAUUAUUGGGCAGCAUUGCCUGAUAAUCAAAGGAGCAAUCCGCUGAAAGAUGGGCUCGCGUCCGAUUAGGUAGUUGGCGGGGUAACGGCCCACCAAGCCGACGAUCGGUAGCCGGACUGAGAGGUUGAACGGCCACAUUGGGACUGAGACACGGCCCAGACUCCUACGGGAGGCAGCAGUGAGGGAUAUUGGUCAAUGGGGGAAACCCUGAACCAGCAACGCCGCGUGAGGGAAGACGGUUUUCGGAUUGUAAACCUCUGUCCUCUGUGAAGAUGAUGACGGUAGCAGAGGAGGAAGCUCCGGCUAACUACGUGCCAGCAGCCGCGGUAAUACGUAGGGAGCAAGCGUUGUCCGGAUUUACUGGGUGUAAAGGGUGCGUAGGCGGCUUUGCAAGUCAGAAGUGAAAUCUAUGGGCUUAACCCAUAAACUGCUUUUGAAACUGCAGGGCUUGAGUGAAGUAGAGGUAGGCGGAAUUCCCGGUGUAGCGGUGAAAUGCGUAGGGAUCGGGAGGGACACCAGUGGCGAAGGCGGCCUACUGGGCUUUAACUGACGCUGAGGCACGAAAGCGUGGGUAGCAAACAGGAUUAGAUACCCUGGUAGUCCACGCUGUAAACGAUGAUUACUAGGUGUGGGUGGACUGACCCCAUCCGUGCCGGAGU